Molecule: ribosomal RNA, 514 nt
Filed under: Phaeosphaeriopsis sp. 1-54
Lineage: Eukaryota; Fungi; Ascomycota; Dothideomycetes; Pleosporales; Phaeosphaeriaceae
Description: eukaryotic LSU rRNA
Rfam family: 5.8S ribosomal RNA (bases 162-315)
Source: RNAcentral
UUAGCGACUGCGGAAGACAUUACAUUCAGUAGCCUAGCUACUUGUUUACACCCUUGUUUUUGCGUACCUAUUGUUUCCUCGGCGGGCUUGCUCGCCGGUUGGACAAAACUAUAACCUUUUUUAAAUCUUCAAUCAGCGUCUGAAUUAUACAUAAUAAUUACAACUUUCAACAACGGAUCUCUUGGUUCUGGCAUCGAUGAAGAACGCAGCGAAAUGCGAUAAGUAGUGUGAAUUGCAGAAUUCAGUGAAUCAUCGAAUCUUUGAACGCACAUUGCGCCCCUUGGUAUUCCAUGGGGCAUGCCUGUUCGAGCGUCAUUUGUACCCUCAAGCUUUGCUUGGUGUUGGGCGUCUUGUCUUGUAUUAGACUCGCCUUAAAGUCAUUGGCAGCCAGUGUUUUUGGUAGUAAGCGCAGCACAUUUUGCGUCUUAGUCCUUGAAUCGUGGCAUCCAUGAAGCCUUUUUUCACUUUUGACCUCGGAUCAGGUAGGGAUACCCGCUGAACUUAAGCAUAUCAA